AGAGUUUGAUCAUGGCUCAGAACUAACGCUGGCGGCGUGCCUAAUACAUGCAAGUCGAACGCGAAAGUCCUUCGGGAUGAGUAGAGUGGCGCACGGGUGAGUAACACGUGGGUAAUCUGCCCAGAAAUGGGGAAUAACUCCUCGAAAGAGGAGCUAAUACCGCAUAAGACCACAGCUUCUAUGGGAGCAGUGGUUAAAGGUGACCUCUAUUUAUAAGUUAUCGUUUCUGGAUGAGCCUGCGCAGCAUUAGCUAGUUGGUGGGGUAAUGGCCCACCAAGGCUACGAUGCUUAGCUGGUCUGAGAGGAUGAUCAGCCACACUGGAACUGAGACACGGUCCAGACUCCUACGGGAGGCAGCAGUAGGGAAUAUUGCUCAAUGGGGGAAACCCUGAAGCAGCAGCGCCGCGUGAGUGAUGAAGGCCUUCGGGUCGUAAAGCUCUGUUGUACGGGAAAAACGAGAGUGCAGCUAACAUCUGCAUUCAGUGAUGGUACCGUAUAAGAAAGGACCGGCUAACUUCGUGCCAGCAGCCGCGGUAAGACGGGGGGUCCUAGCGUUGUUCGGAAUCAUUGGGCGUAAAGCGUGUGCAGGUGGUUUGGUAAGUUGGAUGUGAAAGCCUUGGGCUUAACCCAAGAAGUGCAUUCAAAACUACCAAACUUGAGUAGGGAAGAGGGUCGUGGAAUUCCAGGUGUAGUGGUGAAAUACGUAGAUAUCUGGAGGAACACCGGCGGCGAAGGCGGCGACCUGGUCCUAUACUGACACUCAUACACGAAAGCGUGGGGAUCAAACAGGAUUAGAUACCCUAGUAGUCC
Molecule: ribosomal RNA, 810 nt
Filed under: uncultured bacterium
Lineage: Bacteria
Description: bacterial SSU rRNA
Rfam family: Bacterial small subunit ribosomal RNA
Source: RNAcentral